This 935-nucleotide ribosomal RNA is filed under the name uncultured bacterium. Its description in RNAcentral is "bacterial SSU rRNA". It matches the Rfam family "Bacterial small subunit ribosomal RNA", at positions 33 to 957 of the family's 1533-position model. The record is from RNAcentral.
ACGCUGGCGGCAGGCUUUAACACAUGCAAGUCGAACGGUAACACGAGAUUAGCUUGCUAAUCUGCUGACGAGUGGCGGACGGGUGAGUAAUGCUUGGGAAUCUGGCUUAUGGAGGGGGAUAACUACGGGAAACUGUAGCUAAUACCGCGUAAAAUCUUUGGAUUAAAGGGUGGGACUUUCGAGCCACCUGCCAUAAGAUGAGCCCAAGUGGGAUUAGGUAGUUGGUUAGGUAAAGGCUGACCAAGCCGACGAUCUCUAGCUGGUCUGAGAGGAUGACCAGCCACACUGGAACUGAGACACGGUCCAGACUCCUACGGGAGGCAGCAGUGGGGAAUAUUGCACAAUGGGGGGAACCCUGAUGCAGCCAUGCCGCGUGAAUGAAGAAGGCCUUCGGGUUGUAAAGUUCUUUCGGUGACGAGGAAGGUUGGUAGGUUAAUAGCCUAUCAAAUUGACGUUAAUCACAGAAGAAGCACCGGCUAACUCCGUGCCAGCAGCCGCGGUAAUACGGGGGGUGCGAGCGUUAAUCGGAAUAACUGGGCGUAAAGGGCACGCAGGCGGUGACUUAAGUGAGAUGUGAAAGCCCCGAGCUUAACUUGGGAAUUGCGUUUCAUACUGGGUCGCUAGAGUACUUUAGGGAGGGGUAGAAUUCCACGUGUAGCGGUGAAAUGCGUAGAGAUGUGGAGGAAUACCGAAGGCGAAGGCAGCCCCUUGGGAAUGUACUGACGCUCAUGUGCGAAAGCGUGGGGAGCAAACAGGAUUAGAUACCCUGGUAGUCCACGCUGUAAACGAUGUCGAUUUGGGGGUUGGGCUUUGAGCUUGGUGCCCGUAGCUAACGUGAUAAAUCGACCGCCUGGGGAGUACGGCCGCAAGGUUAAAACUCAAAUGAAUUGACGGGGGCCCGCACAAGCGGUGGAGCAUGUGGUUUAAUUCGAUGC